AAGGUUUUCGGAUCGUAAACUCUGUUGUUGGAGAAGAAUGUAUCUGAUAGUAACUGAUCAGGUAGUGACGGUAUCCAACCAGAAAGCCACGGCUAACUACGUGCCAGCAGCCGCGGUAAUACGUAGGUGGCAAGCGUUGUCCGGAUUUAUUGGGCGUAAAGCGAGCGCAGGCGGUUUCUUAAGUCUGAUGUGAAAGCCUUCGGCUCAACCGAAGAAGUGCAUCGGAAACUGGGAAACUUGAGUGCAGAAGAGGACAGUGGAACUCCAUGUGUAGCGGUGAAAUGCGUAGAUAUAUGGAAGAACACCAGUGGCGAAGGCGGCUGUCUGGUCUGUAACUGACGCUGAGGCUCGAAAGCAUGGGUAGCAAACAGGAUUAGAUACCCUGGUAGUCCAUGCCGUAAACGAUGAGUGCUAGGUGUUGGAGGGUUUCCGCCCUUCAGUGCCGCAGCUAACGCAUUAAGCACUCCGCCUGGGGAGUACGACCGCAAGGUUGAAACUCAAAGGAAUUGACGGGGGCCCGCACAAGCGGUGGAGCAUGUGGUUUAAUUCGAAGCAACGCGAAGAACCUUACCAGGUCUUGACAUCCUUUGACCACUCUAGAGAUAGAGCUUUCCCUUCGGGGACAAAGUGACAGGUGGUGCAUGGUUGUCGUCAGCUCGUGUCGUGAGAUGUUGGGUUAAGUCCCGCAACGAGCGCAACCCUUAUUACUAGUUGCCAGCAUUUAGUUGGGCACUCUAGUGAGACUGCCGGUGACAAACCGGAGGAAGGUGGGGACGACGUCAAAUCAUCAUGCCCCUUAUGACCUGGGCUACACACGUGCUACAAUGGAUGGUACAACGAGUUGCGAGACCGCGAGGUUUAGCUAAUCUCUUAAAACCAUUCUCAGUUCGGAUUGUAGGCUGCAACUCGCCUACAUGAAGCCGGAAUCGCUAGUAAUCGCGGAUCAGCAUGCCGCGGUGAAUACGUUCCCGGGCCUUGUACACACCGCCCGUCACACCAUGAGAGUUUGUAACACCCAAAGCCGGUGAGGUAACCCUUCGGGAGCCAGCCGUCUAA
RNAcentral lists this ribosomal RNA (1056 nucleotides) under Latilactobacillus sakei. RNAcentral describes it as "bacterial SSU rRNA". It matches the Rfam family "Bacterial small subunit ribosomal RNA", at positions 411 to 1460 of the family's 1533-position model. The record is from RNAcentral. Lineage: Bacteria; Bacillati; Bacillota; Bacilli; Lactobacillales; Lactobacillaceae.